This 477-nucleotide ribosomal RNA is filed under the name uncultured bacterium. RNAcentral describes it as "partial 16S ribosomal RNA". It matches the Rfam family "Bacterial small subunit ribosomal RNA", at positions 364 to 833 of the family's 1533-position model. The record is from RNAcentral.
UUUCGCAAUGCCCGAAAGGGUGACUAUGCGACGCCGUGUGAGCGAUGAAGGUCUUCGGAUUGUAAAGCUCUGUCAGCCGGGAUGAAUACAGAGAGGUGAAUACCCUUUCUGUUUGACGGUACCGGCGGAGGAAGCCACGGCUAACUUCGUGCCAGCAGCCGCGGUAAGACGAAGGUGGCAAGCGUUGCUCGGAAUUACUGGGCAUAAAGCGCGCGUAGGUGGCUUUGCAAGUCUGUGGUGAAAUCCCAUGGCUCAACCGUGGAACGGCCGCUGAUACUGCAGAGCUUGAGGACGGUAGGGGAGAGUGGAACUCCUGGUGUAGCGGUGAAAUGCGUAGAUAUCAGGAGGAACGCCGGUGGCGAAAGCGACUCUCUGGGCCGUUCCUGACACUGAGGUGCGAGAGCUAGGGGAGCAAACAGGAUUAGAUACCCUGGUAGUCCUAGCUGUAAACGAUGGGCACUAAGUAGAGGGGUUUUA